RNAcentral lists this long non-coding RNA (15874 nucleotides) under Gallus gallus (chicken). The record is from RNAcentral. Lineage: Eukaryota; Metazoa; Chordata; Aves; Galliformes; Phasianidae.
CUUCUGUUAGUGGUGGAACAUGUUUGAUGAAAUAGUAUGGAUCGAAGACUUCCCAGUCUUCUUCAUAGGUGGCUUCUGCAUGAGCUGAUGAGUAGCCACUGUCUGGAGAUACUGGUGCUGUAAGUGGUGGCAGGUCACGAUCAUUUGUUUCUUCUACUUCUUCUAAACCAUUGUUGACAGUAGAUCUGACCUGCACUGCUUGGCUAGUGUAAGCUGCUCCAUUGGUUGAUGUUGCAGUACUCGUAGUAAUCUCAUCUACCUGCUCCAUAUCAAGCUGUUUGACUAUUUCUUCAGCCUCAACAGCUUGUCCUGGAGAAUCUGAUCCUGAUGUUCCAUUUUUAUUUGCUGGUGAAAAAAAAUUGAAGACGGGAGAAAAUAUGGUUCCCAGUAAGGUAGUUCGCGGGGGACUGCCUGUGGCAGGAUUAUCUUCCAAUUUCCCAUUUUGCUUUACGUGUUGGUUUGUCAUUUCAUAACUUCCAGCUUCUCCAUUCACUUGACCUUUCCGUCUUACUCGAGAGAUCUGUUUAUUAGGCUUUUCUCCUGUUUGAGGUGUGGAUGUGAUCAAGUUGUUAUCUAUAUCCCGUUCAAUUCUACUUCUUUUUGCAGGAUUUUCUCUUUCUUCCUUGGGUGUGCUGCCUUUAAUAAACUUUUUGAUUGAAGACAGUAGGCCCGUCUCAUUUUUCUGCGGCUUUCCCCCGCCGACAGGUAGGCUCUCCUCCACCUCCGAGUGUUUCCUCUUUGCCCUCUGAGCACGCUGCGCGUGAAUGGGAUUUGAUUGCUGAGAAGCCUUCCGCGUUCUCAGCCUCAUUUUCAUGUGUACCACAUGUAAAGCUGCGGCGCGGGGUGCCGGGCGGGCGGGCCCCGGUGGCCGAGUCCCCGGCGGGCGGACGGUGCGGGCCGGGCCGGGCCGGGCCGUGCGGGCGGCGCUGUGUUUACACCGCCGCCGGGGCUCGGCGCUCCGCGGCCGCUCAGCAGCCAGUCGCCAUUUCCCGCCUACCGACCUGCUACACCGCACGGAGGGACCCGGAUGGGGAGAGGGGCCGCCGCGCAGGCGCAGCCCGGCCGGGGGAGGGGGGCCCGGGCACGGCGGCGGCGGGGCAGGCCGGGAAGGAGGGAGCGGGGCCUCGCGCGGGGAGCGGCGCCCCGAGGCGGCGGGGCUGAGGGAACGGGCCGGGCCGGGCCGGGCCGCCACCUCCCGCUCCUCCUUCUCCUCCUCUUACCCGGGCCGGGAGCGGCAGGCAGCGCCUCGGGGCUGAGGGGGCCUCGCGAGGAGGAGGAGGAGGAGGGGAAGGAGGAGGAUGCGGCGGCGACCGCCUCUCGGGCCGAGUGCCGCCCCGCCGCGCCCUGAGGUGAGGUGAGGCGGGAAGGGGCGAGCGGUGCGCUGAGCCUCUCGUGUGAGAUGUUGAGGAUGCAGCAUCCUGACCGUCCCAGCCAGGACAGCAGGGGGGUGCUGGGGUUGCACGGGGGACUUACAGCCUGCCGAGCUGCCGGCCUCGCUUUUCCUUCUGUCUGUGAGUGCUUUCGUCCACCGCGCUUCAUGAACACAAAUCCUGGGUUCUCAGAUCCGUGCUGUACGACAUUAGGAGCUUCUCAAAGCGUCACUUGGGUACAUGUUCUCUAACGUACCCAUAGGCACAGACCCGCUCCGGGUGCUCUUUCUCUCUCUCUGGUACCCAUUGACACCCCUCACAGGUUUCAAACCCGGAGUGUGUCACAGAAGUCCCGGUUCCCUUGUCCCUCAUCUACUGGUUUGUCAAACAGAAUCACAUCGGCUGCUGCGGAGCCAAGAAUUGCUUUAUAGUUUUAUCACAGAACUUUUGCUCUCUUAGCAGAAGACAUUGUAGAACUGAUUUUACCUUCGUUUCUCAAGGAAGCAGGGAGUAAAGCGGCAGUGGAAGCACUGUAUUCGUUACUCAGAACAGGCCUUAUUCCUGUAGAGCAUUGCAGCACUCCUAAACACACACAUGAGUAAGCGUAGUACUUCAUACAAUCAGCUGUGGGAAAGGUUAGCUUGGGCCUGUUAGGACUUAAUUAAGGCUGUUUGUCAGUCCAUUAAGAGGAGCUAGUAUGGCAAGAUAACUGCGAUGUCUCGCAGUACAAGCCCAGAAGGGCGUUCAGUGGUGCUUAUAAAGGGGGAGUUUUGGAAAACAGUAGGUGGCUUUUCCAAGCUAUGUAAUUAUAAUGAAAGUAACUGCCAGGGGAAACCAUUCAGCAGGAUUCAGAGCAUGCAGAUAUUUAUAUGAACACAAAAACCUUCUACUGCAUUCGCAACGAAAGCCAAAAAAACAUUCUGAAGAUGCUGAAGCACAUGGCUUGGGAUUCAAAGGAGUCUGUAGGGAAUAAGGACUGUGCUUUUCUGUAUCCGCAGUGGUCUUGUGCCUGGUUCAGAGCAGGGGCAGAGGGUGCUGUUGGACCAGAAGGGUUGUGAGCUUUGUCACUCGUCGGGUGAGAAUAUAAAGUCAGAGUGCUCACUGACACUGCUGCGAAGGCAGAAGUUCAAAGGUCCCCCUGCUGUGAGUUGCUCCCCUCCUUAUAAAGCACAGUGUGGGGAGAGCCACGGAGAGUGUGCCACGGAGGAGCGCUAAGGAACACUGGGUGUGCACACAUGGGGCAUGAGAAGCUUGGAACGCACACGUGCUUCAGAAGAGGCUCUGUAUUGGCAACGGCAGGUUGUUCCCUUGACAGUCGAUUGCAGGGACUGCCAGACUGAGAUAUUCUAGGUGUGUGUUUUCUUCACAGGGAGGCUGGAGGACAAAAGCCCGUCGUUGCCAGCAGUGUUGCGCGCUGCUGAAACGUUACACUCUAUUAAUGCUCAUUUGAACGGCCGUUCUUCGUGACUUCCUUCCAACUCCUUUUUUGUUGUUCUCAACUCUUGCGGGCCUGCUGGCGGUGUGUUUACUGAGGACUCACUGAGAAGGACUUGUUCAGAGUCACUUCCUUGUUUGUCAUAGAGAUUCCGCGUGCGUGAGCCCACCUCUUGGUGAGCCGGUCCUACACCUGCCGUUAGGCGGCGUGUUCUGGUACAGGGCUGCCUUCCAUGGCUGUGAGCAGUAGUUGUUUAAACAAAGCAAUUCUUGUUUGGGUUAAAAUAUUUUAGAAUAAUCUAUUUCUAGUGUUUGUUAUUUCUCUUGCUUAUCUGGAGGGAAUACACUUUGUUCAGUAGGUGAACAACCACGGACUUGACUUACUUGAGAAGCAGCUCACAGGCUGUGCUUGCUCUGCGUGCCUAGACGUCUGUCAUCCAAUCUGUCUGUCCAGGAGCAACUACAGACUUACUGUUCUGACUGCUUGCACUUAGCGAGGGAGCCAGAAUUCAUAUGGUGCUGUGUGCCUCUUCAGACACAAAGGCAAGCGUGAAUUUAAACCAACUGAAGUGUGUGUUUGAUUUAGCACAAAACAUCUCUGAGGAGCCUGCAGCCACGGAACAGUCUGCCAGGGAUGAAAAUACACAUCCUUCAGCAGUCGGUCCAGUUGUAGGGGGUUAAGGUGGUUGUAGGUAGGACACUGGCAAGCCUGUCGUUGCUCUGUGCAAAGAGUUUGAUUUAGAUGGAGGGACUGGGAGUGUUCUCGUUUCUGUACUGGCGUGAAGUUCUUGCACACGUAUCGUAACCCUGUUUCUGUGUGUCUGAAAAUCCCAGUGUAACCCAGUAAAUAGGUAUGUACGUCCCCACUUCUUUCAACCAGGGCUGUAUUAGAGAAGCACGGUGUCCUUGGUGCUGGAGUCAGCCAGAAGCUUCUAGCUGCUGCAGAACACUGUGCUGUUUCUGCACGGUGAUACAGGCUAUUGGAAGCACUCAGUCUUACUUUUUCUACUUGGGAAGGAGUGAAGUUGAGGGUGGCGGUGAGUUCUCCACAUACCACAAGUACACACACACGUAUUUGUUCAGGCAAAUCCGCCAGAGUCUGAAGUGAGCAGUAAGUGGCUGUGUGUGCAGAGGAGCUGAGGGGGUGCCAGCUUUCUGUAGCUGCACCAGAAAGUGACAGAUAAAGAGCUGGCUCCUCUUCCUGUUUCCGUACUGGCUCAGCCUCAGGCAGCUCGUACAGCAGAGUGCACGUGAGGGGUUUACUUUAGCCUUUUACAGCAGAGCUUUCAGGAUUUGAUUGCUUGUGCAGAGGGUCUGUUGCAGAUAUAAUUAAACUGAAGCAGAAGUGCAUGACAACCUGUAUGCAGCCUAGCCAACCCUGUGUGUUUUCCAGGCAAAUCACGCUGUGAAUCACUGAAAACAUGUAAUCUUCUAUUGCAAACUGCUUGCUUACAAGAGUUCUUUUGUUCUGUAGGCUUUGUACUUUUCACUGUUAAUGAUUUUGUCUGUAUGAAAAUGUAAACUUGUGAUGUUUAAUAAAAUAUGUAAGUCAUUAGUUAUUUAGUGUCCAUUUUCAUCUUGUCACUUCAGUCUGGAGAUAAGCAGAAUGCUCACUGCAACUCUGACAGUUCUGAAUAACGUGGCUCUGCUUUGUCAGGUGGAACCCAUCACUUUGGGUUUCCUACUUUUAAAGGAAGUCGGGUUCAACAGUGAGUCUUUGCUUUUGUGAGAUCCAUGGAGCUUGGAGAAAGCUUUGGGGAAAGCUGCCUACUGAAAACCCAUACAUAUCAUUGGGUAGUUGGAACUAACUAGAAUGAAUUCAGUAUUUGGCUACUCACUGUAGGUGCUUGGAUUUCUCAUUAUUGUUGAAAUCAUCCAGAGAAAGGUCUCUGGCUGGCUGUUAAUUGUUUUCCUUUGGUCAGUUACUGGAGUACCUGGAAUUCAUGUCAUUGCAGUGGGGAGGUUUUACCCGCUCUGCAGGACAGACACCACUCAUUUCAUGCUUAAUAGAUCUGAAAGCUGAAUUAUAUAAUCUUAAGAGGAAAACUUGGUCUCUUCUCCAACCCUUUUUUGGGGCAGGGCAGGAGAGGAGGAAAGGAAAGCAGCCGUGGCAGAGAACACGAGCCGGGUCAUGGUGGCUGCUGUGUUCCCUCGUUUCAACAGGCUGAAUUUCUACCAGCUUCAAAUGCCAUGGAUGUCUCUGAGGUGUAAGAGCACCCAGAUUUUAAACUGAAGCACAGGUAUUUUUUUCUCUGAUUUUUAACAGAAUUGAUUUGAGCUGUCUGUAAUGGAGUAACAGUUGCCCAAGCUCUGAAAGUUCCUAUCCCAUUUGUAUGCUAAUGUCUCUUCAAGUCAGAUUUCUGUUCAGGCCUGGGCAUAAAACAAAGUACUGCAGUCACUCACUGAGCAAAAAUGACUUAGGAAUAUGUAUUUUCUCAGUUUAACCCUGAGCAAAAUAUUUUUGGCAUCGGCACAUUCAUUUACGUGGACUUGUGAGUGCUUUUAAAGUACAGCCUUUUAUAAUUGGGCUCCUGCAGGUUUGGUUAUUUAUGCAAAGCAGAGAGGCGCUUUGUUCUUUCAUAGCUUUGCAAUGGCAAUCUUUAGGAAAUGGGACAAUUGCAGGGAUUUUCUUGCUCCGUGGUAUGAUCUCAGCUCUGCGUGUUCUCCAAACUUCCUCACAUGGCUGUUACGUUAGUUUCUAUCUGUACUGUGCUUUGAAGCCAUGAUGUGUUGUUACUCUUAAGUAGACUGGUAGAGAAUUCUGUAUUUCAAUAUGGAUGUGGAUAGCUCACAAGCAUUCUGUUGUCGUUACCCCCUUACUCCAUUGGAUGCCACGAGCUGGGCUUUGCAUCUCGUCCCUGAAGAAGGACAGCAUCCCAGUGCCCGCCCUGGCCCGCUGCUGGUGUACUGAGUGCCGUGGUUCAGCUCUCCAGCUCCUACAGUUCUACUGCCAUUUGGAGGCUGGGACAACAGAAGUACUGCAGGCGUUUCUGAACACCAGCUCACCCCUACAGCUUCUUGGUUGACGGCAGAACUCCUUCAGGCAGUGUGGAAGUGCAGGCUUUUCUUACUCCUGGCAGCCGUUGUGGCUGUUGCUGCCUUGGCCUUCUGAAACAGAGAGAGGAAAGCAGAAAAGGGCUGAAUUGUGCAGGGAGCUUCCAGGUAAGCAGACACAUUCAGAACAUGCUUGUUACUUGUAUGCUGCUCGAGACUUUUAUAAAACACCAAUUUCUAUACUUUUUUUUGCCAGAGAAGGUUUCCAAGCUUUAUUAUUUUUUAAAGCUGUUUUAAUUCCUCUCCCCCACUUGGCUGAAGGUACCUGUGUUGGAUGAGCACAAAGCAGGAGCAGCAGUUCCCUGUGCUGCGGGGGUUGGAGCGUAGACCAGGGACCCUUUGGGUGCUCCGUACCCAUAUGUCCUCCAAUGGGAAGUGUGGGAGAGAUGAUGAGAUCUGGAGGCAGAGGCACUUUCUCCUCCAAACGCAGUGUCCUCUUCAACUGUAAAAUGUAGAUGUUUUUCACCUUUUGAAAUAUGGGAAGUCUUUAAGAAAGAAUGCAAUAGUUGGCCACCAGUGUCUCACAAGUUCCUACAGGUUGUUCAGAUGUAGCCUGGGGCAAAACAUAAGAUUUUUCUCAUUGCAUUUGAAUAAAGCUUUUUCUUUUUCCCUUAGAUCUCAAAUCAGCAGCAAACCCAUUCUUCAAUGAACAAACGUCCCUUGGUUUGGUGUGUGUUUGCAGGGCUGUGGUAGGUAUAGCUGUUACUCUUUAUGAACCUAAGUAAGUGGAGGGAAAGGAAGAAACUAAGCAAAACUCAGUGUACAAAACUAGAACAAGUGAACUAGUUUUUGCUUUCUAGUAAAGUUUCCUAGUUUUUGCUUUCUAGUAGUUUCAAAUACAGUCCUCUUCCCACCAGCACGGCCGGGAGUUCAGCAUUGAUGGCACAGUGCUCAUCUUCACCAUGCUUCCUUACAUCUUAACAGUGACAGUGCUGAGCACUUAGCACUGCAAAGUGGCAAGGUGAAGUGAAGCAUUUGGAAGUAUGUAUGAAAGAGGGAUGGGAGUUUCUGAGAAGAUAGGACGAGGUUUGUUGGUCCCGUUUGCUGCUUUUCAGGAGAUGACUCCUCCAGUGCACUGCCAUGUGAAUGAAAAGCUGCUCGUACACAAGCCUUAAAGCAAGAACUUGAGGAGCUGCACGCUGCCUUAGCUGUCUAGAAACACUGCUCAAACAACACGAUCUGGGCUGGGCCAUCAUUUAAAGCUCAAGCCAUGCUUAGAUGUCUGUCUUUGAUAUGAAUUGGAUGCCCCACAUCCUCUAGAGCAGCGGCUCCCAGCUGGUGUUGGGCAUUGUGUUAAAGGAAAGGCACAGAGCAGGAGUCCCACAGGCCUCAAGGAUGGAAGCGCAGUGCAGAAGCAACGCGCAGGCAGCUGGCCAGAGCAGCUUUUGUUCAACACAACAGCAGAGGCCCUACAGUGAGGGAUUCAAGGAGGAUCUUACAGUAGGUACGGUGUUGCCAAGUUAUUCUUGUUUAUCUGUUACAGUAGCUCAAGGCUGCUGCCUAGGUUGGUACCCACAUUCACACCAACUACACAGGUACUGCAUUUGAAGCUCACUGGUUGCUUAAAAUAUCCCAGCGUGUAAUUGUCCCGGUAUGACAAGAAAAUAGGUUUGUAUGGCUUGUUGUAAGGUCCUCAUCUCACUCACUGCCCCAUGAGUUAGCUUUUAUCAAGCAAGUGUAACCAUUGCUGAUAUGUGAGACUGCAUCAGCUCCUGUGAAGGCCCGUGUUAAUCUGAUUUUCAGGAGCCACGAUCACUUUGAUAUGGCUGCAGAAAGAAACAAAAGAGCCAGAAGCCUCACAAACUUUAAACAACUUAAUUUAUUAGAACCCAUAUAUGUUGCUUUCAUUAGAAGAAUCAAGUUAACACCUAAUUCAGGGUGAAAUUACAUUUUAAGACCAAAAAAAUUGCAGAGCUUAAAUAUGGUAUUUACUGAUGACUGCUGUUCUCAGAAUCCUGGCACAGGUUUGUUCUUGCUGUGUGGUGUUAUUAUGGUAUCUAAUUCAGAGCAGGUUCAGCAUUUAUUUUGAACUGGAAGUACAUCACGCCACGCAAAGGGCUGUUCCCCCAUCUGCCUCUCAGACGUUUGUAAUGAAGAACUCAAGCCUUAAACACCACCACAGAAACAAAACAAACCAGUGGAAUGCAUCACCAGAAUUUGAUCUUUUAUUUCUUGUGUACUUCAGACUCAUUAGCAGAAUAUGCCUGUAGCAAAAAUAACGUAGCAAAAAAAUGGUGCAACUUUUGACAUGUAAAAGGUCCACUGAAUGGGCAUCAAGCAAGACUGUUAUUUCAGAUUGGAACCUGAGUACAGAGAGAGUACAAUCACCCACGUCAAAGGUCCUGUAAUUUCUUUUCACACUAGCCCUUUUGGAGAAGCAGGUUAGGUUAAUAACCUCAUUUUCCACUACUGUGAAUCAACUGAAUCAUUUGGAUACAAUUCAGAAUGUGCUGAACGCAUAAUACAAAAAGUAUCUAACUUACAAACUGGUCUGAGACAGAAAAGCAGGAGGUGGAAGUGGCAGAUGUUUGGAGAGAUCUGUAUCAAAGUAUCACGUUGUAAAUUAACUUGAGUGACUGCAACACAGGAUGGAGUCUCUUGGAACAGUAAAACUCUGCAUACAAGGUAUUUAGGGAGGGUAGGGGGUGUUCCUUCCAUUCAGGUUCCUGCAGAGCUGAUGUAGACUUCUUCCCGUCCCCAUCCCCACACUGAAACUUGCUCUUCUUUAACACGUACACAAAGAUUCCCUGCAAGCUGUGUUGAAUUAUUUAUAUUACCUUUUAAGAUAAGCUAUUAGUUACACAACUUUUUCAGGAUGUAUCAGUUACUGAAGCCCUCCUGUCACUGAUCUCCAGCUCUAGCUGCGAGUUGUGGUCACUGUACAUGAGAAGCAAAAUGGUGCUUGCCUCUGAGGACUAUGCUGCUGUCAUAUCUUUCCUCACUUACAUAGAAGGAGGAGCAAUUUUUUAAACAUUCAGUUCUCAUUCUCAAAUAGCUUACCUGCAGAAUACAAAAUCCACAGCACUCAUGGAAAAAGCAGAGUAUUUUUGCUCAUACAGGUAUUACUGUAGAAAAGGAGUCCUCUGGCUGUACAUUGUUUCCACAGUGUAUUUGUUACAUGAGAUACAAACUGUACAAGUUCUCCAGUUUACAAAGUUUUCUAAUUUGCAGAAACAAUUCAGCCCCUAUUUAUAAUACCGGUUUUAAAUGUAAAGAUUCUUGCAGAUAAGGUACAGUCUAAUUGGCUCAAUGUAACAACAAAGUGUCACUUUAAUACAAUUUGCAAUAGUACAACUAUGUACAUAUGUACAGAACUGCUUCCUUCUGUUACUUCCCUAACUUGGAGUAUACUUAUUUUUAAUUAUCAGUUUGCUUUAAAGUGUGAAACACCGAAGUAAAAAUGGUUCAGUUUUGCAGCACUUCAAGUUCUUCAGUUGAGAUCUCAUCUACGUUUCCCAUUUAAUUCAGCCUUAAAGAACACCGUCACCGAAGCGUGGCUUGCUGUAAUCAACGAGGUCAUUCUGUAGGUCUCUUUCUUCAUCAUCUGCAAUUGAAAUAUUCAGACCAAUUCUCAUGUAAUGGCAAUGAAAAAAAAUGUAAGCACGGUUUCCCACGAGCGCAGUGCUUACACAUCCAUCCGCAGCAACACGGCUUCGUCUGGCUACGGGAAUGAAGUCCUCUGGGAAAAUGAGGCAGCACGAGGGCCUGCCAUGACAGGUCCAGCUGUCAGCACCUGGGGAUUUGUCCCCUCUGACAAACUGACUUCACACCACUCAGCAUCUCCAGCUUUAUUCCAACUGCAUUUCAGACAUCUGCUGACUUGAGAGAUUGCAGAACUACUGUAAAUUGAGAGUGUUCCUUUAUAGAUUUGAAACUCUCCCACUAAAACCCAGCUACAAAGUCUCUUUGACUUUGGAAGGUUACAUCAGCACAUCAGGGUUACAAGUUGGCAGAGUUGAAACACUGCAGGGUUUUGCCAAAGGUUGGGAACCAUGCAGCACUGGCACGCAGAAGUCCUUAUGACCCUCCUCCAGGUCUCUGAAUUAACUGCAGACGAAUAAGGUGAUACUCUGCCAACUUACAUCUUAGGUUUGAAAAAUGAUAUUCAGAAUUGCCUUUGCUAUCAGUAUAGUUACAGACCACUAUCCUGCAUCUUAGACUCGAGUGUAAAACUUGAAGGACUAUUAAAAGCACAAAAAGCAGUGCUCAACCUUUCCACACUUCUGAUCAAUGGAAAUCUCUAUUCUCUCUCAGCCUUGCUAGGAAUCAGCAACGCAUUCUUCACCUGUACUCUUCACAGCUGAAACACAACCAUCUGGUUGGGCUACUAAGUGAUAAAUAAAUAGCCUGCCCAUCAAAACAUCUACUCUUAAGCAUGCAGUUAUUCUGCAGCUCAGCCAGGAAGCACACUGCAGCACAGAGCAGCGGGGCAGUGCGUGCUGAGCAGCCUGCAGCUGAUGCAAAGUGCCCACUCUGGGAGCACCACAGCUCCGCUGCUGCAGGCGCUUCACCUCCGCACUGUGGCUGCUGCUUCAUCCCUGGCUGGGAGAGCGAGUGAAGGCGUUCCAUCCUGCACAUCCCAUGUGAUUGCCUCUCCAUACCACUCUCCUACUUCUUGACUUCUAUUCCUGUGACUUUGAGCCUCAUUAAAAACCAAUAAAAACAAACGCUCAAAACUUACUCAUCCUCACUAUACUCAUGUACUGUAGUGCACAAAGACAAAAUUAAAUCCAGGAAAAUAUAUUUUAAAACGUCUCUUGCAAGAACUACUGAGGCAUGUUAUUCUAGUUGCUAUAAUUGAGAUGGUUCCUGCAUGGUCCCACAAGAAAAGAGGUCCUGAAAGUCCAGUGUGUUUUAACUAACACGCUUUUGCUGCAUUCCAAAGCUCACGGUGUCCCCUUAUACUCAUGGGAGGGACACCAGUUCACAGGAACAGAAAGCAGAGUUCCAGUGAGUGCCGUCAGCCGUCCCUCCACAAGUCUACCAAGCCUAUUGCUUCAUGAUAACCUGUCUGAAGCUCUAAAACAUUCGCAAGUUUAUUUAUCAGCCUGCAAGUGAGGCAGGUACCCGCUGGCAGCCUACUGCCACCAGCAAAGGCUCGUUUAUCUACAUGACACAUGCUGCUGUUUGGUAGACACCACUACUAAGAAAGCAUGUGGGUAUCACUUGAUUCGUGUAAUCCGUCACCACCCAGCCACCACAAAGCAACAUUUACUGGCGUAGAAGCCAACAAUGUACGUUCCACUUUGCAUUUCAAACGGGGGAACUGAAAGAAGAAAUGCCAGCUUGGAUGCUGAUGUUCACAGGAGUGCAUCUCCCAAAUUUGUCUAUUUUCCUUAUCUUUCAAUAUAAGGCCCACACAGUUUUAGUGGUAACAGAAAAACACGUUUAACCAAACUGCUUGUUUACACAUACCAGAUGCUUUAUUCUAGCCUAAUGCAAAAGCAUGUGAUGUUUUCCUAAUAGUUUUGAGGCAGAAAUUCAGUGGGUUUUUCUUUUUUUAAACCUCUAAACAAUAACAACAGCUCUCCAAAAUCCCACAAUUCCACCUUCUCUGCCCCUGCAAGUAAAUUAAGUACAAAAAGUAAAGCAGACACUUCUAAAAUGCUGCUUCUGGCAGUACCACUCCACACAGAACAAGUCAACAAGUUAACAGGAGACAAGGCAACAAAUGGUUUGGAAAAUGAAGCCAGAGGCUGUAAUGUACUGCUUGGACUGUUCUGCAGGAAGAGCCUUCCCAAGGUCACCCUUCAAUCUUCACUACAUAGCACAAAAUCUCUUACAUCUGUGCAGAUGUAAAGAGAUAGGUCAGAAGAAGUCCAAAGCUAAAGCCACCACGGCACUGAACUGAGAGGUGUCACAUCAGCAUGUGAAAGUUUUGAAGCCACUUUCAAUUGCAGCUCUUGCAUAGUGAGCUACAUAACCACCACCUCUGGUUUCUAACAAUUCUGCAGCACUUAAUCCUGUGUCAUGCCCACCGUUGCAUAACCUGCAGGCAGCACGCCAUUCAAGGUACCUGCACUAGUUAAUAGCUUACAGGAUAUUGCUUCUUGCUACUUCAAGCUAAUAGUUUCCCUGCAGAGCCACCACAGCAGUGUUGGUGUUGGUAAGCAGGCAGUUCUGUGCUGGGGGCACAGCGCAGUGUGUGCAGGGACUGCAGUGCUGCUCUGCUGCCUCACUGUGCUGCAGGCGAAGGCUGCCUGCAGGCUGAGCCACAUGAGUAGCACAGGGCAGCACUGGGACUCACUUAUAUCAAGAAUCAUCCUUUGAAGUCCAGUUAAGGAAGUGACCCGGUGAGCAGCCAGGCAUCACCCACUGCAUAUGUGGGAGAACUGAACUAAACAACAGCCAGAACUAAACUCAGUCCACACUACUGCUUGGAUUUGCAGAGUGCAGAGCAGACAUGCACCAUACUGUGCUUUCCUUUGCUCUACAAAACCACGACCAUGAAAACCAGCUUCCUACUUCCACAGUGCAGUGCACAUCAGCAGAAGAGGCCAUACGGACUAUUUACAUUCGUUUAGAAGCUGGCUUUAGCAAGCUAUUCAGAGCAUCAUAAGAACAUACCCAAAGGAAUGGACAUUUGUAAUCCAGAGCAACUAAAGUCUCCUGCUGCAGCUUUGAAUGGAAGUGUAACAACUGGCCACAUCACCUGGAACAGCAGUGGUUUUCAUUUUCAUCAGUAAGCAAAUUAAUUGCCCAGGGUUCUGAUCCAUACUGUUGUGUUUGUUCACGUGUUUCAAACUACCAGCACAGCCACUAAACACACUGCAUACAGCAGUGCAUGCUAACGGAAAUCAGUUACUUUUCAUCAGCUUUUCCUUCUCCUGUUCCUGUGCUUGGAUAACAGUGAAAUGACGGACCACCUACCAGUUAAAAAACGCGCAUUACAAGGAUCAAAAUCAGGGUGCGCACAGAACGUGGGGAGUUACAGCACUCCCACCCUCUGCACUCCCCCUUUAUUUUGCAGAAUUGGAAAUACUAGAAAUGUUUAAGCAGACAUUUCCAACCUCUAGACAUGCAAGCCCUUCCCAAGACAUUACCAAACAACUACAUGGAGAACAGCAGACAACGUGGCAGAUGCACGGCAGACAACAACGGAGAGGUGACGCACUGAGACGCAUGCACAAGGGGUGGGGAACAUGCAGGGAUGGGUGUUAGGCUGGCACCAGGUGAGUUCUGCAGUUUGGUUAACAAGGAGAACCAGAAGUCUGUUGAAUCUGUGUACAACGCACAAAAAGUUACACUUAGAAUUGAUAUCUUGGAUUUCUUUGUGUACCGCCUCGGGGCGGGUGUGACUAAAUUAGCAGGAGUCAAAAACUACUACUGCAGUUCUAAGCAGAGAAGCGUAACGCCAAGGACUGCAUCCCCAACCAGCUAUGCACCACGGCUGCGUUUAGAAAACCAUUUCUAGAAUUUGAAACAUCUUGAUUUUCCUAGCAGAAACUGUGCACAAUUGAAAUAAGCAAUGGGAAUACUCUGGGAACUGCUGUAACAUCGCUUUCAAAUGGAAAGCAAGCCUGAAUUUUAAAGAUUGCCUAGAGCUUAUUUAUUCCAUAUUAUAAAUUGCAGAUCAGCCAAAAGUAAUGAGGCUUUACACAAAUUCAACAAGAAAACUCAGUGUGGAUUUUAUCACAAUGGGAUGGAGAUAAGGCCCAAGCUCACCUUGGACGUCUUCUUCUCCACCAUCACCAUCCUCUUCCUCAUUGUAAGCCAGCUCAGCCUGUUUGUCUGCCUCGUACUCACCCACGUUACCAUCAUCCCCAUUAUAAUCUGCCAGUUUAGAACCCUGCUGCGGAUCAACAGGGGAUUCAUUCUCAUCAAAGAAUCGGCCUGCGAAGUAGGCAAAGGAUUAAGUCAGAAGCAGAGAGGAAAGAAACAGGAAGAUUCUAAAUGAAAGCAGCCUGCAGGUUAGGAUAUUCAGGUGUCUGUAGCAGUUUUGACUGGAGGAAAAAGGGAGUAGAAGGGAGAGUGCGUGGGCAGGAGGGACAACAGUGCUGCUUAGGAACACCUCCGUGGAGAAAGGAUGUCCUUGACUGCCCUGAACUGGGGUUUGAGAGAUCUGCCUGCUGUGGGCUUCACUUUGUAGAGAAGAGCAGGGGAAGCACCCAAACCAAAAGCUGCAUCGUUGGUUGUCUACAAGCACAACACUGCAAGUGUGCUCUGGUUUUAUAAAAUGCUGAGGAGCACAGAGUGAAAGUUUUUGUACGCAUCUUCCUGAACCAAAACAAUGGAGCAAAACAUUGCUGACUUUGUACAUGGAAAUGUAAACCAUAGUGUCAAGGGUACCAACCUCACCAAGAUCUGCCUCGCACUCUACACUGAUUUUUGUCAAACCAUCCAAUUAAUCUGGGUACAUUCAGGUUUUCUGCUGAGCUUUACGUUCUCAAAACGUUCCAACUGCAGUAUUUUUAUCUCACAGCAAAGAAUUAAGAACUGCUCCACACAAACCACUGUUCCAACAACAAACUAGAAAAAUAAUUAGCUGCAACUAUGAAACAACCACAAAUGAGCACAGAGUGAAAGAUUCAUGGUGUAAUGGGAGUUCAGAGCUGGUGUGUAGUGGGGUACGAAGGAGAAACAGGCAAGUCCACAGAAUUCAGUCUGCUUGGCCAUGGCUUAAAGAAAGCAACAGUAACCAAGGGCACGGGUCUGGAGACUGUGUAUAAAGGGAAAACGGGAUCAAACAGCAACUCAGUCAUUACAGGCUGGAAACAAACCAAGGAAAAAGUCUGCCAAGGCAGAUGUUACGCGAUUCACGUUGGAAACAAUUAAACACAGAAGUAAAACUGAAGAUACGAUUCCAACCUUAGGAUUAAAAAAGUGGUUGGGUCGCAAUGGACAGAUGUGAAAAUGAACUUUUCUCUUAAAACAGUGAAAACUGGUACGUGGCAGUAUACAAAACUCAGAGCAGAAACAAUAACAGUGCUUGAAAAACAGAAGGAUGACAGCUAGUGCCCCUCACACGUACAGAAACUGGUGCCUCAGUCACGGCCAUAAAACAAGAAACUAUGAUCUGUUAGUACGUCAGAGGUCUGAUAGGUUGCUCAUUUUCUAUUCAUCUCUGUAAUUCAGUAAUCCUUGCAAAUGUUGUUUUUAUUUUUGGACUCUGCCUUAUACAAACAGAACUGUACAAUGUACGCAUGUUAAAUAUAAAAUUGGGCACGAGAAAAACUGAAUGUACUUAACUUACAGAAAAAAAAACAGGGCUGUGGAUGUGCAGAAAUGCUACAAGUGUAAGCUGACAGAAGGAAAGGUUAAAACAUCAGGAAGGCCCCAGGGAACCCAGCACCCCACCGACUGCGUGUGCAGAGCCAGGUGUGAGGGAUGGAGGCAGCUGAUGACUCCCUGCCCAACACCAGGAGGGCAUCAGCUCUGACACAAGGCACUCACACACGCUCCUGGGGCACCGAGAGCAGCAGAACGGGAGCCUGCAAGGCACCAGCUGCCUUUUGAACCACACACGGGCAGCAGCACCACCUGGAAUCUGUCCCAGGAGCACAUGUUGGUGUCGUGGGCUGCUACUCAGCUCACUGCAGUCGUGAGCUGGUGUCUGUAACACAGGCAUUACAGAGGCUGUUUGAGAGAGCAGAAUGAUGUCACAAAGCAGGAGAGGCAAGGGACAGCAAUGGAGGGUCCCGUAAGGAUGUGAUGGAUGCUAAAAGCCGUAGGGAAUUUUUGACAAAAGGAACUCAGGUAAUAGUUGGGUAUUGCUAACCUGGACCCUUACGCAGCCCUCGGAGCAGCUGUCUGAUGGUCACACUAAGGCCCAUUACAGGACAGCUGCACACAGCAGCACACACUGCAGCUCUGCUGCACUCCACUUCUAGUGCAGGUUUCUAGAUGUGACAGAAAGAAAUCCUCUCCCUUGCUGCAUCAUUAUGGUACAGGGUAUCGCAUGGAAGGGAGAGGGAAGAUGAAGUGCAAAGGCUGAUCAGUGCUUAGUGACUCUCAGGUACCCACAGCCUUCAGUGGGGCCGCUUCCAUCACUGCUCCUGCCCCCCAUGCCGUUAAUC